Non-coding RNA from Taeniopygia guttata (zebra finch), 973 nucleotides. The record is from RefSeq and is a predicted model, not a curated record. Lineage: Eukaryota; Metazoa; Chordata; Aves; Passeriformes; Estrildidae.
CCGCUCACGUGACCGCGCGCCGGCCGGGGCGGGCCCCGCCGUGACGCCAGCGGCCGCCGCCCGGACCGGCCCCGCCGUGCCGCGGGCUGAGUGAGGCGUGCCGCGGCCGCGGCUGCCGGGGCAGGGCGGUGUGUGAAAGCCGACGGGUCCCCGGUGCUGCUGGCCCUCCGCCCCGCCCGCAGGAACCGGGGGGCUCCCGCCGCCGAGAGCCUCCGCCGCAUCCUGCAACCACGCAGAGCACCCGCGAGCCUGAGCGAUGCCCAAGUCCUGGAAAGCCCGUGGAGAUGAGUUUUUAAUUUUCCAUAGCCCAGUGGUGGUUGGCACCUCUGGGAUGUGCUCCUGGCCUAAGCAAUUGCCCUGCCCAAGCUGAGGCUGCAAUCAGCCAACACCCAUACCUGGAAAAUGGGGACGUGUUAAUAACCAGCACAAAUCCUGCUCUAACGCUGCCACGCCUGACUUCCUGCAUCACACACUCGAGUCCCGUGUACUGGUGUCACCUGAAUGCCACGAAGCUGAACUGAGGUGAGGCAGCAGGGAAGACAAAUGCCCUGGUGUUACCUGCAGUGCUCCAUGCUACAUCUCCCUUCUGGGGGGUCCCAAGCAGUCAGGAACCUGAGCGAUAAUUUGUGUGACUGGUGCUGCUGGAAACAGCUUGUCUGCCAAUUGAGUGAGUUUAGGAGGGUUAGGGUUGGAUGUGUUUUGCUGAGAAACACCAAGUAGUAACAACAGCUGCAGAAAACAGCACAUGCCAGAAAUAAAUGACAAUACUCCAGAAGUUGAAAAAAAAAUUAUAUUGUAAGUACAGUACAAAAAAGUCUGUGUAUAAUUGUAAUGUAAUCUGGACCAAACAGCAAAGAAAUAACAAAAAUAUAAAAACUGCUAAGUCUUGACAAAGUUUCCCUACAGUACCAAAUACCACAAGAUACAGAUUAUACAAAGUGUACAAAUUUUAAUAAAAAUACAAUACACCAGG